UGGGGAAUAUUGCACAAUGGGGGGAAACCCUGAUGCAGCGACGCCGCGUGAGUGAAGAAGUAUUUCGGUAUGUAAAGCUCUAUCAGCAGGGAAGAAAGUGACGGUACCUGACUAAGAAGCCCCGGCUAACUACGUGCC
RNAcentral lists this ribosomal RNA (138 nucleotides) under uncultured bacterium. Its description in RNAcentral is "partial 16S ribosomal RNA". It matches the Rfam family "Bacterial small subunit ribosomal RNA", at positions 355 to 509 of the family's 1533-position model. The record is from RNAcentral.